RNAcentral lists this unclassified non-coding RNA (248 nucleotides) under rhizosphere metagenome. RNAcentral's name for it is "partial ribosomal RNA internal transcribed spacer region". The record is from RNAcentral.
GUAGGUGAACCUGCGGAAGGAUCAUUAAAAGACCCUUAUCGGGGGUAGGACCCAAAGUGUAGUAGAUGGUUGUCGAGUGUAACGCUCCAGCCUCCCCUCUUUGCCCUGCCCUUGCUGAAUCUACCCAUGUUUUACGCAUCAUUGUUUCCUCAGCGGGCUUGCCUGCUGGAAAUACACCCUUUGUAAUUGCAGUCAGCGUCAGAAAAACAUAAUUAUUACAACUUUCAACAACGGAUCUCUUGGUUCUG